GUCCUGCUUGAGCGCCAAUUCUGUUUGCCCCUUCCUUAGAAGCACACCUUUUCAUUUGGCUGUUGUCUUCCAUGCUUAGUUAAGUUUAAUGCAAGCACAUUGAACAUUUUGAUGGCUAAACCCGGCAGUUGUUAGUAUAAAAACCUUUGCGUCAAGCUGAUCUCUUUUGGCGUCAUCAAGCAAGGGAGUGUAGUGCUCCAAUUCAGCAAAUCAAAAUGGACUCCAAUAUUUCCAGCAAAUGUAGCAAGCUUGUGGUCGCUGCCAUUGACAUCGGGACCGCAUAUUCCGGAUAUGCAUUCUCUUUCCAAAGUACAUGGAAUAAAGUAAUGACACCCUUUUGGCAAGUAAGACAGUCAAUUACUAAUAAGACUCCUACAUGUCUGCUCCUGAGAAAGGACUACUCGGUAGUUUUGUUUGGAUAUGAAGCUGAAGACGAAUAUUCAUAUAUAAAAGAGGAUAACAAGCAUGAAGACUAUUAUUUUUUUCAAGGGUUUAAAGUGAUUCUUCAUGAGGAAGUAAGUAUAAGAGUGAACUUCAUGGGGAUGUAAGUAUAUGAGUGAAUUUUGAUCUAAAACGAUCUAUAUAUACAGCUCUGUAGCUAAUUCUACAAAGCAAAGGAUGACACAUUACAGAUUAAUAUUGUGUUUCGACAUCCCAGAGUAGCACCUUUAAUGUUUAAUUUGUGUUUGUAGCAGAAAUACUAGUAACAUAUUUUUGAUAUUUAUAAAUAUAAAUAAAUAUCUAGAUUCCUUUGUAUUAUUUAUAAUCGAUUCGAUAUAUCCAAGUGAACACGAAAUAAAAGACAACACAUAGUCUUCCAAAUCUGCUUCAUAUUUGGAUAGUUUAUUGAACAUACACAUUAACGGAAAAAUAGAAGCUCAACUUUGUGACAAAGGGAAUGAUAUCCGCUUCUCCAUCGUCGACUUCCCAUAUUUUUGUAGGAAUAUUACAUUAUCACCUGCAUAUUAUAACUGUCAAAUGAUUCGAUACGCGGAAGCAUAUUCUGCAUAUUAUCAAUUUUUAAACUGAAACAAAUAAGUUGAUGUUAAAGGGGCUUCAACUGUUUCGCUCAAAGUUAGCAGUAUGCAAAUUCUGUGCUCAUUACAAUGCUAAUACAGUCUGUCAUUAGGUCAAAUGCUUUUGGGGUAUUUGUACCAGCUGUUAGGACUAUUCACGAUAGCUGGUGACGUCUCAAUAUGAGUGAAAAUUCUCGACGAGAAGUAAAUCAAACAAAAACGAAAUCAAACUAAAUCAAACAACAAACUGUUUGGCAGUUCUUUACAUAUUGAUUUUAACUGCGGUUUACUCCAUUUAUCUGAUCAAGAUAUAGGGCUCGUGACAGGUGUGACCGGUCAACAGGGAAUUAAUUGUUACGUCUAGCCACAUUAUCCCACCUCUGAUGUUUCUAGGGAUCCGUUUGGCCCUACUCUCAAUUUCGUAUUCUUUAUAGGAUCUAUGAAAUUGAUCAUUGUUCGUUAUUUUCACCUUUUCAUCAAAAGUCCCCUUUUUCUAUCUGUAUGGAACAUCAUAUCUGCCGUAAGGUCAAGUUCUUGGUACAGACAUUACAUUAAAGUGAAUUUUCUUUUGGCAUUUAUAACAAUAUUUCUGGACAGUUUCUUAGCUCAUUUUUUCACAUUUUGUUUUGUCCUUGUUUUUGAACACAAACCUCUUUUGGUGCCACAAGUCCACAACUCUGUUUGUGAAACCUUACAUUCUGACAUCCGCAGUACGACUAUAUUUUGUCAUUUUUAUUGCGUUUACUUGGAUUAUGUUGAAAUAGAUCCUUGCAUGGUCUACUUUGUGUCAUAAAUUCCAUUGGGUAUCUUUCAAUCAGUUUCAAUUAAUCCUUGACUAGAUUAAAUUAACUUAAUUUUUUUAACUAUUUAAGUAACUAAGACGUAGAGAAACUUCUAGAAAUUAAAUGUAUGCUAUCACAAAUACAAUGUACAAAUCUUAAAAGCAUAAUAUGCUAGUUUGACUAGAGAAGUUGUUUAACCACUCAAUGACUUUAUUUCCAAGAUUGCAGCAAAUCAUUGGGAAUAAUCAAACGAAAACCCACAUGCUUUCUAAUUAGGGCCCCACAUGAAAUGCGGGAGUCCCUAUAGUAAUCACAUUGUCCGUCCGUCUGUCCGUCAACACUUUCUUUGUGACACGAUAACUUAAACAGUUUUUAUCGUACAGUUUUCAAAUUUUGUACAGAAAAAAUUUACAAUAAGAGGAAGACACCUAUACAUUUUGUGAUCAUGUCAAUUUGACUGUCCGUUUGUAUGUCAUCAUCUUUCUUAUUAUGACUGUAUCUAUUUACCACUGUCUAAGGGAGAUAAUUCAAUUUGAAUUACGAUAUGUAUUGUAUUGAUAUGAAAAAUUCACCCCCCAAAAAAAUAACUCUACAACAUUGUGUAUGUGUAUAUCUUUGGGUUUUUUAAAUGUGAUAUAAAAAAUGCUUGAUGUUACAUGUAUAUUUAAUUAACACGUCAUUCCCAGUCAACAACUCUCGAUUGGGAUCGGAAUACGAAAUUAAAUUUCUUAUAUCCGGUUGCAAAGUGAAACUGCUUCGUACCAUAUUUUGUACCAUUUAUCCAUUUUGAAUCCCCUAUUACAAUGGGAUUUAGUUGCACUUUUGUUGUGUUUGAGUGGAUGAGUGUGUGUCAAACAGAAGUAAUUUAAAUUUUCAUCAGUCUCUCAUAAAUAUGCUUCAUGAUUCCUUUUUCACAAAUUUGCAUUCCAAUGUAUCUUUGAAUAUUAUUAAUUCUAACAUAUUUACCAGCCCCAAACAUUGCUAUAUCAAAUACAGAUGUCACUUUCCUCUAAUAACCCUCAGCGGGGCCCUUGCUAACCGUGUCAGUUUUCUGGUUAUAAUUUAUAUUCAUUCAUUCUCUUUAAUAUAGUCUGUAAAUCGGCAUAUGUUAUGCCAGGCACAUGACGGCAGAAGUCUGGAGGCUAGUGUGGUUUUUAUGCACUGCAUCAGAUACCUAAAAAGUCACUUCUAUGCAAAACUACAGACCGCGUGUAUAGACAUAAAGGACGAUGACAUUCAGUAUGUGUUGACUGUGCCAGCGAUAUGGGGAGACAAAGCCAAGGUGUUCAUGAGGGAAGCUGCAAUUGAGGUUGGUAAUCGGGCGGUGAAGGACAUGUAUGUAUAUAUACUACUCAAAAUUUAGUUUAUGCUUUUACUACCAUUGCACGAUUUUCACUCAGGCAUCGGUGUCUGAUUCUUUCUAAAAUUUCAAACUCACUUGAGUGUUUACACUACGUUUAUCAACACAAUGCCCCCUCAACGCGUAAGGCGUCGCCUGACGACAGAACAACUGGGCAGAUAUAUUGGAAUGCUUGACGCUGGCUAUUCACAGCGUGACGUUGCAAAUGCAUUAAACGUCAGCAAGAGCGUUGUAAACAGGGCCUGGAACCGACAGCAAACUUUUGGUACAGCAGCACACCGACAUGGGGGUGGUCGUCAGAGGUCGACAACCCAACGUCAAGACCAUUUUGUGGCUCUUCAGGCACGACGCCAUCCCUUCCGGACAGCAACUAGCCUACGUAACGACCUCCUGAACGCCUCGGGGGUGAAUGUGUCCACUCAGACGAUACGGAAUCGGCUUCACAAUGCAGGUCUCAACUCGAGAAGGGCAUGUGUUCGAGUCCUUCUGACUGUUCGACACCGGCGGGAGCGAUUGGACUGGGCUGAAGAUCAUGUCACUUGGACACAGAACGAUUGGGUUCAAGUUCUGUUCACCGAUGAGUCCAAGUAUUGUUUGGACUUUACAGACAGGAGGCACCGAGUGUGGCGACGACAACGUGAACGUUUCCAUGAUGCCAACAUCAGUGAACAUGACCGUUAUGGUGGUGGUUCUAUCAUGGUCUGGGGUGGAAUCAGCAGGGAUGGAAGAACAGAUCUUCAUGUCCUGGAGAGAGGAACAAUGACGGGGUGUGGUACCGGGAUGAGAUCCUCGAUGUUUACGUCAGACCCUACGCUGGUGCUGUUGGCCCUGAGUUCAUCCUGGUGGAUGAUAACGCCCGUCCUCAUCGCGCCAGGGUGGUGGAGCAGUACCUUCAGCAGGAGACAAUUGUCCGUAUGCACCGGCCAGCGCUCUUGCCGGACUUGAACCCGAUUGAGCAUGUAUGGAACAUGCUGCAGGUUGCCCUUUCACGCCGUGGAGCACAACCCACGACUUUGGCAGAGCUCGGAAACGCCCUCGUGGAAGAGUGGAACAACCUUCCCAUUGGAAACAUCCGGGUGCUUAUUGACAGGAUGGCUCGACGUUGUCAAGCCGUCAUUGAUGCAAGGGGAGGCCAUACCCGGUAUUGACACUUCAUCGACUAAGUGUAAUGAUGGACUAUCCCCAAAAACUGUGUAAUUCUUUCUCUGGUUUGCUGUUAACUUUUUGUAAUGAAAUGCCUUUUGGUGUUGUUAUCAGAUUUCAAGCAUUCCGUAUUGAUAAAAGUUCAUGCCGUUCAUGAGUUUUCAUUCAUAACCUGAGUAAACACGUUUCUGAGUAAAAUUGAUGUCUUUUGUUAUGUUAGUGGUAAAUUACACACAUAUAACCUAGUGAUCCUUAUCAAAUUUUGAGUAGUAUAUAUAUCCAAGAACAAAAGCAUUGAAAACAAACUUUAUGAUAGUACCUGCAAUACACUUAGCCGUAAAAAUCUUGAUAUAAAUGUAAAGAGUUUCGUCUCUCUGGACCAGCAUCAUAUACCAAGAUUGAAAUGCAACUCAAGUGAGCUGUUCUGAUCACAUUUUGUCUGGCGUCAGUCCGUCCGUAUACUUUUAACAUUUUCGACGUCUUCUCAAGAACCGCAAGGCUAAUUUCAGCCAAACUUGCCACAAAGCAUGCUUGGGUUUUGUUCAAAUGAAGUGUUGCAUCCUUUUUGAAGUGGAGAUGAUUAAGAAUUAGUAAAUAAUUUUGUGGCAUCGUUAACAUAUCUUCUUCUCGAGAACCAUCAGAUCAAUUUCAAUCAAACUUGGCACAAAUCAUCCUUGAGUGAAUGGGAUUCAAGUUAAUUCAAAUGAAGGGCCAUGCUCAUUUCAAAGGGGAAAUAAUCAAGGAAAUGCAAAAAUAGGGUGGGGUAAUUAAACAAAUCUUCUCAAGAACCACUGGAUCAAAAAUGUUGAAUAUUGCAUAAAAGCUUCCUGACACAGUGUAAAUUUCAGUUUGUUCAAAUCAUGUCUCCCGGGGUAGGAUAGGGCCACAGCAAGGGAUCAAUAUUUACGCGGGGAUAUAUAAGAUAAAUCUUUACAAAUCUUCACAAGAACAAUAGGGUUAUGAUUAAUCAUUGAUAUGCAAACAUCCCCAGGUAGUACAGAUUCAUAUUUGUUCAAAUUGUGGUCCCAGGGGGUAGGAUGAAGUCAUUAUAGGGGAUAAAAGUUUUGUAUAGAAAUAUAUAGGGAAAAUCUUCUCAAUAACAAUACUGCCAUGAAUAUUCAUAUUAAUAUGCAAGUAUUCCCAGGUAGUGUAGAUUGAAGUUAAAAUAGUGACUCCGGGGUAGGAUGGGGUCAUAUCUAAGUCUUAUAUGGGAAUAGGGAAACGUUUUUAAAAAUCUUCUCAAGAACAGCAGAUCAAUGAUUAGUCAUAUUGACAUGUAAGCAUUUUCAAGUAGUGUAAGUUUGUUCAAUUCAGGAGCUCCAGGAAUAGGGAGGGGGGGGGGCAUAAUAGAAGAUCAAAGUCUGAUAUGGGAUUAUACAUGAAUUAAGGAGGCGAGAUCAAAAGGUCGAUGUCGGAUAAAAAUCUAAAUUCAAAUAGUUAGGGGGAGGGAGGGUAAAAAUUCCAGUAAGUUUCUAUCAUACGACAUAGAUUAAUUUUUUUGUGAAAAAAGAAAAACGACAAAUGACUGUUAAAAACCACAGUAAUAUUACAUUUAAUAGUUUUAAUGUACACUUUCAUUUGUGAACAAACAGUAGAAAGGGUAUACAGAGUGUUAUUUAUACAGGUAUGUUUUUACAUGUUCGAUUAAUUUCAACAUUAAUUCCAGAUGCAGAAAUGAACGUGACAAAUAGUAUAAAUUACAAAACUUUAAUGAAAAACAUGAAUAUUACAAUUUUUUGUGGCGAUUAUGUGUCACAAUCCACUUAUAUAAUCUAUAAGUUCCCCAGGCGGAAACCAGAGAAUCAACAAGUGUCUCCAUCAACUGGCAAAAGGCGCACCCACGGGUGACCGUGAUGAGCGAGACCUCCUGGUACCAUAACAAGAGAGAAUACCACAUGUGAAAAGGAAAUCAAGUAUUGGCUCAGGUCCUCACUAUCCUGCCUCCCCGGGUACCAUAUACAGGGAUAAGCCCAAAAAUUGCCCUUGGUACCACAAGGGUCAAGCCGGCCCCUAAGGUAAACUCCCCCCAGUAAUGAGGAUGGAAUACAGAGUUUAGAGCCAGACAUUUAAGCGAGAUUCUGAUUCGUGGUAAUUCCCGAGUUCCGCCUACCCCCUUCCCAGAUUGUGACUUCAGAACAAAUUAAAAUCUUUACCAAAAUCCCCACUGUCAAUGUUAAACACAUAAUGCAAUUAGCAAAUGAUCCGGGUUAGAAUAGGUCCUCAGUACCCCUUGCUUGUCGUAGGAGGUAACUAAAUGGGGCAGUCCUUCGGAUGAGACCGCAAAAACCGAGGCCCCGUGUCACAGCAGGUGUGGCACGAUAAAGAUCCCUCCCUGCUCAAAGGCCGUAAGCGCCGAGCAUAAGCCUAAAUUUUGCAGCCCUUCACCGGCAGUGGUGACGUCUCCAUAUGAGUGAAAUAUUCUCGAGAGGGACGUUAAACAAUAUUUAAUCAAUCAAUCACAAGUUUAUGGCGUUCUCCUUGAUCAAGCGUGAAACCGUCAAUGAUUGAAUCGGGUUCGGUUCAGGCUUUGAUUGCACAGGCAAUGCGCUUUAUAUUCUUAGUCUUAAAUACGUUUGCGGCUAAAGCUUUAAGGUUAACAAGGCUGCAAGAGUUACCGCGCCUGCCCCAGAAUUAAAUACAAUUGUUGAUAAAUGCCAUUAAUUUCAACAUUCAUCAUAUUUAGUUUUAGGGGGGUCUUGGUGAAAACUAUGUGAAUUUAGUUUUUUUUUUAUUUUUUGCGUUAUAAAGCAUAACUUUCGUGUUAUAACGCGAAGCUUUUGCGAAUUAACGCGUAACUUUCGCGAAUAAAUGCGUAGCUUCGCGUUAUAACGCGAAAAUCAUCCAUUAUAACGCGAAACGUUUACGUUUGCUUACAAACACGAAUUUAUGGAUUGAAUGCGUAUGAAGUCAUUUGUUCAUUACAAUAAAGAAAAAUAACGAUAGACUUGUCCAGCUGUAGAUUGUAAUUUUGUAUAUAUAUGUAUAUCUCUUGUCUUGAUAUAAUUUGACUGUUUUAAGAAGAUCAUCUUAUUGACCUUUGAUUCUGUUGUUUAUAAUUUAUGAUACAAGUAGUUGAGACUUGGAACUAGUUCAAAUGUUGUAAUUUAUUAAUUUGGUUGAUAUAUUUUUUUCCAAACAGAACACCGAUUCUACAAAAAAGUUUGAAUUUAUUAACACGAAAUUUUGCAUAAAAAUUCAGUAUUUUUGUCAAUAAAUCAAUAAAUCUCUAACCCUCACUUUUUUAUUUCCAAGACAUUGACAAUUAUGUGAAAUUUUAGAAAAUGACAUUACUCCUACAUUGUAAUAUGUCCUUUUAAACUCUCAAAAUUCAUAUCGUGAAUUUUUUCGUAUUUCAAGUGCAAAAAGGUCGUCAUUAUUUAUUUCCAUUACUAGUAUUAAACUUUUUUUUAUCUGUAUUGUUUCCAUGACUAAAGUCGGGGGUGUUAUUGUUUUGUCCUGCCUGUCUGAAACUUAAAUCAUGCUCAUAACUUUUGAAUGGUGAGUGAUAGGGCUCUCAAUUUUCAUAUUUUUAUUCCUUGGGUCAAGACCUUUCUUUUCGUAUCAAAGUUUUUUUGACCUUGUGACCUUGACCUUUGAGUUUGACCUACUUUUAAGAAAGCCAUAUCUAGACAAUAUCCCUGAACUAUUUAAGGUAGGGUUUUUUACUUAGUGUAAAGAUUCCUUAUGGCAAGGAAUAUCAUUUGAUGCCAUGGUGUUUGACCAUGUGACCUUGAAGUUUGACCCAAAUUAGAAUUUUUACCAAAACUUUAACCUUCCUCAUGAUUUUGAAUGGCGAGUAAUACAUUUUUCAUGUUUGCGUUCCUUGUGACAAGACCUUUCUUUUGGUACCAAAAUCUUUGACCUUGUAACAUUGACCCUGGAUUUUGAUCUACUUCUAAGAACAUUUAACCUAGGUAAUAUCUUGUGAAAAGAUCCUUAUGGCAAGACCUUACAUUUCAACCAUGAUUUUUUUUAUCUUGUGACCUUGUUAUAAUGAUUAUAUCGUGACCCUAUGGGGCUAGAUUGGGGUCAUAUUAUGGGUUCAAAAUUUUUCAUGGAAAUGAAGAUUGCAGAAAAAUCUUUUGAAAAUCGUAAUAGCUGAAAAACAGCAGGACCAAGGUGACUCGUGUGAGCGAUGUGGUCCAUGGGCCUCUUGUUGUAUUUUCACAGGCAGGGAUUAAAAACGAGCAUUUGAUCAUAGCGCUGGAACCAGAGGCGGCAUCUAUCUACUGCCAGUACUUACACAUCGCUAAAGAAGACACGUCAUCUGCGGUUUUGGGAGUCGUCAAACCUGGCACAAAGUUCAUGGUGGUUGACCUCGGAACCCCGUUGAGUUCAAGUAUUGCUAAAGAAGUUAUAAAAUCUUCUGCUGAUUUUAUACAAAUGAUUUCAGAUAUUUCUGUUUAAAUUCUAGAAACAUUUUAGAGCCAAUGAGGCCUUCAAUCUACUCCUUUUCUCCUCCUGGAGAAUAGGGCCUCUAACACGCAUUUUCCAGUUUUUCCUAUCUUGCGCAGCUCUUGCUGUUUCAGUCCAGUUUGUAAACCCUAGCUGUAGAAAAGACCGCUAUAUUGAUCUUGAGCAUGCAUCAAAUCAGAGCAAACUCUCUUAUUUGCAAACAUCACACAUGUUUAUCAUUCUGGGGAAAAACACUAAAGAAAUCAUAUAAAAUAAAUGAAAGCUUGUACUACUCUUAAUGGAAAUCAUACUUCAUAAGAAAUGUUUUAACAAGCCAUUAAAUAACAUUUUGUUGUAACGAUCGAUCUUAAUUCUAUAAGGGUGUUUCAAUCAGUCGAUGGUCUUUUCUGUAUAGACGAGUGAUCAUAAAAGUUGAAUGCUUUACUAAAAAUCACUAUUUGUAUACCAGAUUUCAUUUACAGGUGGCACAGCGCAUAUAACGGUUCAUCAGAAAAGCGCAGACAGCAAUUCGGAAAAAAUUCUUAUGGCAAGUUGGGGACCAUGGGGAGGAAAAUAUGUGAAUGAUAUGUUCAUGACAUUUUUGACGGAAUUGGUGGGAGAAAGAGUUAUAAAAGAUUUCAAGGAAGAAUGCAUGGAAGGUUAUCUUGAUAUGACGAGAUAUUUUGAGGCAAAGAAAAGAAAAGCAAAUUCCUAUAGGGAUGGAAGUACAUCAAUUCCGAUACCAAUGCCCUUUAUCCACUUAUGCGAAAAACUACACAAUGUCAUAGAUUUCAGAGAGGUUAUUGACAAAAAUGAAUUACACAGAAAUAAUGUGAAAUACACUGCAGGAAAACUUAAAUGGGAAAACAAAUAUUUUAGGGGUUUUUUCAAGAAAACUAUUGACAGCAUUGUCAAACAUAUUGACGAGUUGUUCGAAGAGGACGUUGGUAGAGAUGUAGACAUCAUCGUUAUGGUCGGAGGCCUUUCAGAAUGUCAUCUGGUCCAGGACGCAAUCAAAAAGAACUUCGAGCAGAAAACUGUCAUUGUGCCAGAGGAGGCGGGAUUAGCGGUAGUCAAGGGUGCCGUGUAUCUCGGUCACCUCUCUGAUGACAUCCCGCGUACUACACUUUCAUAAAUUGACACAUCCCCUUGUGACCAAAACCUAAGACCUGAUUUCCCCACAAAAGGAACUAAAUGUACAAUAAACAUAGGAUGGUUUAAUUUGUUGCUAUGACUGACAACUCUUUGAACAAGUGUUGUGUAUUCUGACUAACGUAUGUAAAUAUAAGUGUUGAUUAUUUUAUGAAUUUAAACAAUACUAGUAAGUAUCUACUUUAUCAUUCUUCAUAUAUUUUCUCAAUCGUAUUACACACGUGUGUUUACUGCUGUAGUGACACUUAAAACUUUACGCUUAAACUAAUCCAAAUAUUUAUGACAAUUAUUCACUAAUAUAGAAGUUCAUUUCUUUUUUCUAAUUCACUUUAGAUUUUGCAAUCGAUCCCAUUGAAAUUAUUUAUUGAUUAAAAGUUAGAUGUU
This is an RNA transcript of Ostrea edulis (European flat oyster), 10232 nucleotides long. It is a transcript of the gene named heat shock 70 kDa protein 12A-like, with no coding region annotated. The record is from RefSeq and is a predicted model, not a curated record. NCBI's taxonomy places the organism in Eukaryota, Metazoa, Mollusca, Bivalvia, Ostreida, Ostreidae. The transcript has 4 exons.